GCUAAUCUGCGAUAAGCGCCGGUAAGGUGAUAUGAACCGUUAUAACCGGCGAUACCCGAAUGGGGAAACCCAGUGUGACUCGUCACACUAUCAUUAACUGAAUCCAUAGGUUAAUGAGGCGAACCGGGGGAACUGAAACAUCUAAGUACCCCGAGGAAAAGAAAUCAACCGAGAUUCCCCCAGUAGCGGCGAGCGAACGGGGAGGAGCCCAGAGCCUGAAUCAGCAUGUGUGUUAGUGGAAGCGUCUGGAAAGGCGCGCGAUACAGGGUGACAGCCCCGUACACAAAAGCGCAUGUGCUGUGAGCUCGAUGAGUAGGGCGGGACACGUGGUAUCCUGUCUGAAUAUGGGGGGACCAUCCUCCAAGGCUAAAUACUCCUGACUGACCGAUAGUGAACCAGUACCGUGAGGGAAAGGCGAAAAGAACCCCGGCGAGGGGAGUGAAAAAGAACCUGAAACCGUGUACGUACAAGCAGUGGGAGCACCCUUUGGGUGUGACUGCGUACCUUUUGUAUAAUGGGUCAGCGACUUAUAUUCUGUAGCAAGGUUAACCGAAUAGGGGAGCCGGAGGGAAACCGAGUCUUAAUUGGGCGUUAAGUUGCAGGGUAUAGACCCGAAACCCGGUGAUCUAGCCAUGGGCAGGUUGAAGGUUGGGUAACACUAACUGGAGGACCGAACCGACUAAUGUUGAAAAAUUAGCGGAUGACCUGUGGCUGGGGGUGAAAGGCCAAUCAAACCGGGAGAUAGCUGGUUCUCCCCGAAAGCUAUUUAGGUAGCGCCUCGUGAAUUCAUCUCCGGGGGUAGAGCACUGUUUCGGCUAGGGGGCCAUCCCGGCUUACCAACCCGAUGCAAACUGCGAAUACCGGAGAAUGUUAUCACGGGAGACACACGGCGGGUGCUAACGUCCGUCGUGAAGAGGGAAACAACCCAGACCGCCAGCUAAGGUCCCAAAGUCAUGGUUAAGUGGGAAACGAUGUGGGAAGGCCCAGACAGCCAGGAUGUUGGCUUAGAAGCAGCCAUCAUUUAAAGAAAGCGUAAUAGCUCACUGGUCGAGUCGGCCUGCGCGGAAGAUGUAACGGGGCUAAACCAUGCACCGAAGCUGCGGCAGCGACACUGUGUGUUGUUGGGUAGGGGAGCGUUCUGUAAGCCUGUGAAGGUGUGUCGUGAGGCAUGCUGGAGGUAUCAGAAGUGCGAAUGCUGACAUAAGUAACGAUAAAGCGGGUGAAAAGCCCGCUCGCCGGAAGACCAAGGGUUCCUGUCCAACGUUAAUCGGGGCAGGGUGAGUCGACCCCUAAGGCGAGGCCGAAAGGCGUAGUCGAUGGGAAACGGGUUAAUAUUCCCGUACUUGGUGUUACUGCGAAGGGGGGACGGAGAAGGCUAUGUUGGCCGGGCGACGGUUGUCCCGGUUUAAGCGUGUAGGUGUGUGUUCCAGGUAAAUCCGGUUCACUUUAACACUGAGGCGUGACGACGAGGCACUACGGUGCUGAAGCAACAAAUGCCCUGCUUCCAGGAAAAGCCUCUAAGCAUCAGGUAACAUCAAAUCGUACCCCAAACCGACACAGGUGGUCAGGUAGAGAAUACCAAGGCGCUUGAGAGAACUCGGGUGAAGGAACUAGGCAAAAUGGUGCCGUAACUUCGGGAGAAGGCACGCUGACACGUAGGUGAAGUGAUUUACUCAUGGAGCUGAAGUCAGUCGAAGAUACCAGCUGGCUGCAACUGUUUAUUAAAAACACAGCACUGUGCAAACACGAAAGUGGACGUAUACGGUGUGACGCCUGCCCGGUGCCGGAAGGUUAAUUGAUGGGGUCAGCGCAAGCGAAGCUCCUGAUCGAAGCCCCGGUAAACGGCGGCCGUAACUAUAACGGUCCUAAGGUAGCGAAAUUCCUUGUCGGGUAAGUUCCGACCUGCACGAAUGGCGUAAUGAUGGCCAGGCUGUCUCCACCCGAGACUCAGUGAAAUUGAACUCGCUGUGAAGAUGCAGUGUACCCGCGGCAAGACGGAAAGACCCCGUGAACCUUUACUAUAGCUUGACACUGAACAUUGAGCCUUGAUGUGUAGGAUAGGUGGGAGGCUUUGAAGUGUGGACGCCAGUCUGCAUGGAGCCGACCUUGAAAUACCACCCUUUAAUGUUUGAUGUUCUAACGUGGACCCGUUACCCGGGUUGCGGACAGUGUCUGGUGGGUAGUUUGACUGGGGCGGUCUCCUCCUAAAGAGUAACGGAGGAGCACGAAGGUUGGCUAAUCCUGGUCGGACAUCAGGAGGUUAGUGCAAUGGCAUAAGCCAGCUUGACUGCGAGCGUGACGGCGCGAGCAGGUGCGAAAGCAGGUCAUAGUGAUCCGGUGGUUCUGAAUGGAAGGGCCAUCGCUCAACGGAUAAAAGGUACUCCGGGGAUAACAGGCUGAUACCGCCCAAGAGUUCAUAUCGACGGCGGUGUUUGGCACCUCGAUGUCGGCUCAUCACAUCCUGGGGCUGAAGUAGGUCCCAAGGGUAUGGCUGUUCGCCAUUUAAAGUGGUACGCGAGCUGGGUUUAGAACGUCGUGAGACAGUUCGGUCCCUAUCUGCCGUGGGCGCUGGAGAACUGAGGGGGGCUGCUCCUAGUACGAGAGGACCGGAGUGGACGCAUCACUGGUGUUCGGGUUGUCAUGCCAAUGGCACUGCCCGGUAGCUAAAUGCGGAAGAGAUAAGUGCUGAAAGCAUCUAAGCACGAAACUUGCCCCGA
This 2717-nucleotide ribosomal RNA is filed under the name Salmonella enterica subsp. enterica serovar Enteritidis. RNAcentral's name for it is "partial 23S ribosomal RNA". It matches the Rfam family "Bacterial large subunit ribosomal RNA". The record is from RNAcentral. Lineage: Bacteria; Pseudomonadati; Pseudomonadota; Gammaproteobacteria; Enterobacterales; Enterobacteriaceae.